RNAcentral lists this transfer RNA (61 nucleotides) under Parantechinus apicalis (southern dibbler). RNAcentral describes it as "tRNA-Lys". The record is from RNAcentral. Lineage: Eukaryota; Metazoa; Chordata; Mammalia; Dasyuromorphia; Dasyuridae.
CAUCUUUGAGAAACCAGUAAAGUACUUAAGUAUUUUUAGAGUCUAACAUCUCCUCAAAGCC